Molecule: long non-coding RNA, 218 nt
Filed under: Podarcis lilfordi (Lilford's wall lizard)
Lineage: Eukaryota; Metazoa; Chordata; Lepidosauria; Squamata; Lacertidae
Source: RNAcentral
UUGUUGUUUAGCCAUUUAGUCGUGUCUGACUCUUCAUGACCCCCUGGACCAGAGCACGCCAGGCACUCCUGUCUUCCACUGCCUCCCGCAGUUUGGUCAAACUCAUGCUGGUAGCUUUGAGAACACUGUCCCACCAUCUCAUCCUCUGUCGUCCCCUUCUCCUUGUGCCCUCCAUCUUUCCCAACAUCAGGGUCUUUUCCAGGGAGUCUUCUCUUCUC